GACGAACGCUGGCGGCGUGCUUAACACAUGCAAGUCGAACGAUGAAGCCGGCGCUUGCUCUGGUGAAUUAGUGGCGAACGGGUGAGUAACACGUGAGUAACCUGCCCUUGACUCUGGGAUAACUGCGGGAAACUGUAGCUAAUACCGGAUACGACCCUCGGAGGCAUCUCCUGGGGGUGGUAAGAAUUUCGGUCAAGUACGGAGUCGCGGCCUAUCAGCUAGUUGGUGAGGUAAAGGCUCACCAAGGCGACGACGGGUAGCCGGCCUGAGAGGGUGACCGGCCACACUGGGACUGAGACACGGCCCAGACUCCUACGGGAGGCAGCAGUGGGGAAUAUUGCACAAUGGGCGCAAGCCUGAUGCAGCAACGCCGCGUGAGGGAUGACGGCCUUCGGGUUGUAAACCUCUUUUAGCAGGGAAGAAGCGAAAGUGACGGUACCUGCAGAAAAAGCACCGGCUAACUACGUGCCAGCCGCCGCAGUAA
RNAcentral lists this ribosomal RNA (484 nucleotides) under uncultured bacterium. RNAcentral's name for it is "partial 16S ribosomal RNA". It matches the Rfam family "Bacterial small subunit ribosomal RNA", at positions 28 to 523 of the family's 1533-position model. The record is from RNAcentral.